AAUCUUUUCUCUCCAACAGGGCAAUGUUGGUUCUCCUGGAAAAACUGGCCUGAUGGGAAAUUCGGGCAAACCUGGAGAACCAGGAUUGCAAGGAGAACCAGGAUCGCUGGGACCCAAAGGCCCAUCAGGUAGCAGAGGUGAGCCAGGUCCUGCUGGUCCUCCAGGAUCACCAGGUAAAACGG
This is a non-coding RNA of Thamnophis sirtalis, 182 nucleotides long. Lineage: Eukaryota; Metazoa; Chordata; Lepidosauria; Squamata; Natricidae. The record is from RefSeq and is a predicted model, not a curated record.